Molecule: long non-coding RNA, 1217 nt
Organism: Chinchilla lanigera (long-tailed chinchilla)
Lineage: Eukaryota; Metazoa; Chordata; Mammalia; Rodentia; Chinchillidae
Exons: 3
Source: RefSeq, a predicted model, not a curated record
GUGAGGAACCUGGCUCCCUGCUGAGCCAUUUAGUUAAAUGUCUAAACUUUUCAAGUGGACACAACAUAUCAACCUUUACAAGAGAGCCGGCAAGUUGGGGUCUACCGGAGAAUCCUGAAGCACAGGGCUGCGCUGGGUCCAGAUCUUCUCCUCUCUGUGAGCUUUGCUCUGCAAGCUUGGGACAGGCCCAGCCUGAGAUGGGACAGGCCCAGCCUGAGAUUGUGUGGCCCGGCUGUGCCCAGCCCUGCCAUGUGUUUUAAGGCUUUGGCCCGUCUUUCCCUCUCCAUGCCAGGCACCCCUGGCACCUGCCCAUCCUGCAGAGCCUCCUGCUGGAGGGGACCUUCACCACGGACAGGUGGCACCGGCAUUACUCCCUGGAGACAAGGCUGGUCCUGAAUGGCCAGGAGGAGACGCUGCAGACUGUAGUCCUGGGCUGCCAGGCCAGGUACCCCUAUGUCUGCGCAGGCCUGACCCGCCCCUACGAUAGCAAGGCCGUCCCAAGGAGCCUGGAGGGAUGCUUGGUUGCAGGAACUCAGCGCUACGUGGGUGAGGCUGGGCCAGCUGUGGCACCCUAGAGCCGUCCCUUCUCGGCCUCACUUCCUGUCUGCCAGAGAAGGCUGUGAGUGGCCCCUGGAGGCUGGGCAGCAAGUCCUCAGAGCUUUGCAAGGACGCGGAACGGGAUGUCAGCCCACAGCACCUGCAGAUGCGGCUCCCAGGGGACAAAUUUGCAGUUUCCUCAACCGGAGAUUGCAGGACGGCUCCCUGGGCCAAAUCCAACGGGCAGAUGUGUUUUGUUUGGCCUGCUUAGGAUCGAAAUGUUUACUUAAAUUAAUUGUUAGCAUUGAAAAUUGGAAGACUGGGAGUAAAACCCAGGUUUCUGCUGUUUCUAAGAAAAAAAAUCAGAAGAUCUGACCACACUGGGCCUCAAAUCCAAGCUGACAAGGACAGGCUGAAACCGAGCAGGUCGCAUCAUGAUGUAAUGGAACUCGGAAGCGGGCCCUUUCUAAAACUGUGCUUAUUGACACACAUUUUUCCCCUCUGUUGGGCUCUUUCUUUCCUAUCAUACUGGCUCCAAAACAGAGUUCUGGAUUCCUUUGUCUGAAGAGUUCCAGCAGUGAUACAAUUCUGUCACAAGGUGGGUUUACAACUCGGUCAAUACAGCGAGGAAUAGCUGCCCCUGUGUCCCACUGUGUACUUGGCUAAAUAGUUUUGGAUGA